GGGGGCGGGGCCGCUCGGGGGCGUGUCCGGGGGCGUGGCCAGGCGGGGACGGUGACGCAGUGGGCGGGGCAGGGCGGGGCGGCAGCAGCGGCAGCGGCGGCUUCCAGCGACUUCGGCGGGCGGUCACUGCUGGGUGUUUGAAGAACUGUGAUGCUCAACGGAGACACACUUCCACAUCAGCAGUGACACCUCCUCCAGCUUUAGGGAAAACAGCCCAUCCUCACCAGAGCCCCCUCAGCAUGCCCAGCCAGCCCAGACAUUCCCUGGACCCUCCCUGUACUGGCUUGGGCUCUCCCCUGGGACAAAUCCUCAAGGAUCGUUUUGUCCCCUUUUGAACAGCCUGGACGCUGCAGCCCCUUGGAAACGCAUCAGGGAGGUGACACACGGAACCAGGAGAGGUGACACACAGGACCCAGCAGAGGUGACCCACGGGACCCAGCAGAGGUGACACACAGGACUCAGCAGAGGUGGCACACAGGACCCAGCAGAGGUGGCACACAGGACCCAGAGAGGUGACCCACGGAACCCAGCAGAGGUGGCAGCAGGAGCCAGCAGUGACGAACAGCGAGCGGGGCACUGGUGACUGCGAGGACCCUGUUGGUGCCCAGGACAUCCCUGCACCUUGCUGGAGCGAUGCCAGCUGCUGCUUAGCCUGCAGGAGGAAGGGAUGGGGAGUCCCCCUCCUUG
This 687-nucleotide long non-coding RNA is filed under the name Zonotrichia albicollis (white-throated sparrow). RNAcentral describes it as "lncRNA (ENSZALG00000014971.1)". Lineage: Eukaryota; Metazoa; Chordata; Aves; Passeriformes; Passerellidae. The record is from RNAcentral.